AGAAAGCAAAAGGGAUGCCGGUGGUGGCAGAUGCUUCCUCCUGGCCAAAUCCCAAAUCCCACCCUCAGCACCCACACCCUGAGCAGUGGGCAGGAGAGGCCUGAAAGCGUCUGUAUAAAUGGCUUCUGAGAAGCCCUGGUGAUAAAGGAGCUAGAGGCAGCCACACAUGGUUCCCAGAAGCUGAAUGCUGUGCAGACGACAGGAAUGACUUCACCCAUCCUGCUUCCACCCGCCAUAGCAGUGACCAAAGCAGCUCUGGGAGCACAGCUGAGCACCUCAGAAGAUAAGUCCCGGGGUGAUUCUUGUCAUCUCCAUGAAAAGGAGAGGACAAAAAGGCAGAGGCUGCUGCUUGAGGAUCCCUUCACCUGGGCUGCAUAGCUUCACCCAUGCUGACCAACUUCCCCGUUUCAAGUUUCAGACUCGCAGCCGCGCUAGUUAGGGUACAACUUGUUCAGACAGCUGUUUUCAUUCACAUCUCCAAAGGUCCUCUACCUUGGAAGAAGAAAGAAAGAGGGAAAGAGAAAUAAAAGAGAUUAAGAACACUGGGGCCAGGCGCAGUGGCUCACACCUAUAAUCCCAGCACUUUGGGAGGCUGAGGCAGGCAGAUCACCUGAGGUCAGGAGUUGGAGACCAGCCUGGCCAACAUGACAAAACCCCAUCUCUACUAAAAAUACAAAACUUAGCCAGGCAUGGUGGUGGAUACCUGUAAUCCCAGUUACUUUGGAGGCUGAGGCAGGAGGAUGGCUUGAACCUGGGAGGCAGAGGUUGCAGUGAGCCGAGAUCAUGCCAUUGCACUCCAGCCUGAGUGACAAGAGACUCUGUCUCAAAAAUAAAAACAAAAAACAAAAAAAAAAAA
Molecule: long non-coding RNA, 856 nt
Filed under: Pongo abelii (Sumatran orangutan)
Lineage: Eukaryota; Metazoa; Chordata; Mammalia; Primates; Hominidae
Description: lincRNA
Source: RNAcentral